This 301-nucleotide ribosomal RNA is filed under the name uncultured bacterium. RNAcentral's name for it is "bacterial SSU rRNA". It matches the Rfam family "Bacterial small subunit ribosomal RNA", at positions 337 to 655 of the family's 1533-position model. The record is from RNAcentral.
UCCUACGGGAGGCAGCAGUGGGGGAUAUUGCACAAUGGGGGGAACCCUGAUGCAGCGACGCCGCGUGGGUGAAGAAGCGCCUCGGCGCGUAAAGCCCUGUCAGCAGGGAAGAAAAUGACGGUACCUGAAGAAGAAGCCCCGGCUAACUACGUGCCAGCAGCCGCGGCACUACGUAGGGGGCAAGCGUUAUCCGGAUUUACUGGGUGUAAAGGGGGCGCAGACGGCGAUGCAGGCCAGGAGUGAAAGCUCGGGGCCCACCCCCGGGACUGCUCUUGGAACUGCGUGGCUGGAGUGCAGGCGG